This 483-nucleotide ribosomal RNA is filed under the name uncultured bacterium. RNAcentral's name for it is "bacterial SSU rRNA". It matches the Rfam family "Bacterial small subunit ribosomal RNA", at positions 903 to 1397 of the family's 1533-position model. The record is from RNAcentral.
AAAUGAAUUGACGGGGGAGCGUACAACCGGUGGAGCAUGUGGUUUAAUUCGAUACAAAGCGAAAAACCUUACCCAGACUUGACAUGUACCUGCAAAUCCAAGGAUAACUUGGACGCCUUUGAGGGUGGUACACAGGUGAUGCAUGGCUGUCGUCAGCUCGUGUCGUGAGACGUCCACUUAAGUGUGGUAACGAGCGCAACCCUUAUCGUCAGUUACAAGUGUCUGACGAGACUGCCCUUGCCAAGCAAGGGAGGAAGGAGAGGAUGACGUCUAGUCAGCACGUCCCUUACGUCUGGGGCAACACACAUCCUACAAUGGGAUCUACAACGGGUAGCAAUGAGGUAACUCUGAGCCAAUCCUAAUAAAAGAUCCCUCAGUUCAGAUUGAGGGCUGAAACCCGCCCUCAUGAAGUCGGAAUCGGUAGUAAUCGCAAAUCAUCAGGUUGCGGUGAAUACGUUCUCGCUCCUUGCACACACCGCCCGU